GCACUGUGGGAGGAUAAAUUUCCAUUGUUUUACCAGUUUGUGAUAAUGUGUUACAGCCGCCACAGGGAACAAACAGUCCCCACCCCUGAUUCUCCCUCUCACUGCGGAUCCUUCCAACUUCGUGGUCCUCACCUGGGGCAAAAUCAAAGAUAUUUCUAGUAACCAUUCAAAAAUGUGAAACCCCUUCUUAGUUCACGGGCUGGACACACUCAGGUGGGUGUGCAGAUUGUGGCCUGUGAGCCAGUGUGCUGACCCGCCUCUGCACACUCACUGACCACGCAAAGGACGGCAGCUGUGCAGCCCUGUCACCCCAAAAGAGCUGGGCCUGAGGAAGUGUCUCUGGGCCGCCCAGGACCUGACUUAGGUGCGUUUGCUGCAUUCUUGAACACCUACGUGCCUCCAGGGUUAAAAAUGAAGUUUCAAGCCUACCCCAUUCCCACGCCUUGACAGUCUUAACUACAUAUCAUGCAGGUCUGUAUAAAGGGAGGCAGAUGAUUUCUCUCCCACAGCAUUGCACCUCCACCGGCUUCACUGGACUAUACUGGA
Molecule: non-coding RNA, 546 nt
Organism: Ceratotherium simum simum (southern white rhinoceros)
Lineage: Eukaryota; Metazoa; Chordata; Mammalia; Perissodactyla; Rhinocerotidae
Source: RefSeq, a predicted model, not a curated record